Molecule: long non-coding RNA, 540 nt
Filed under: Pongo abelii (Sumatran orangutan)
Lineage: Eukaryota; Metazoa; Chordata; Mammalia; Primates; Hominidae
Description: lincRNA
Source: RNAcentral
GCUUCCGGCCGCUGGUCGCAGGGCUGCGGGACUACAAUCUUCGCUUGAAAUGGGAGAGAGGGUGGUGCGGAUACCUUGAGGAAGAUCAUCAAGCCUCCUCCCGCCCAGGGGGCCUCCUGCUUUCCUAAGCUGCUGUGGAACCGGCCUGAGGUCCCAGACGCUGUCCAUUGUGCUGCUGCGCUCUGCUUUCUCCAGCCACAGUGCCAGUUCAUCCGCUUUUGGGAGAACUCCGCCGCCUGGCCUGCCCGCGGACAAGGUCACAGCUUUGCAGGGGGGUGACAUGGGAUAUGGCUUCUUGGAAAUGUCACCCUCACCAGCGCCUUUUAGAUGGAUGUGAAUUUUGAGACAUGAGGGAGGGUAAUUAUUGGUUUACCCAGGAGAUGCUAAGAGCAGAGGAGAAAACCCUAAUUUCCAGGCAUGUGUCCUGAGCCAGGGACAGGCUGGCCAGACCCUAAGCCCCCAGUGCCGCCAGAGAGCAGCCUGCUGUCCUGAUUUAUGUGGAAUCCCCUUCGUUCUGCUGGGCCUUAGCGUCAGGGACAG